GAUGAACGCUGGCGGCGUGCCUAAUACAUGCAAGUCGAGCGAACAGACGAGGAGCUUGCUCCUCUGACGUUAGCGGCGGACGGGUGAGUAACACGUGGAUAACCUACCUAUAAGACUGGGAUAACUUCGGGAAACCGGAGCUAAUACCGGAUAAUAUAUUGAACCGCAUGGUUCAAUAGUGAAAGACGGUUUUGCUGUCACUUAUAGAUGGAUCCGCGCCGCAUUAGCUAGUUGGUAAGGUAACGGCUUACCAAGGCGACGAUGCGUAGCCGACCUGAGAGGGUGAUCGGCCACACUGGAACUGAGACACGGUCCAGACUCCUACGGGAGGCAGCAGUAGGGAAUCUUCCGCAAUGGGCGAAAGCCUGACGGAGCAACGCCGCGUGAGUGAGGAAGGUCUUCGGAUCGUAAAACUCUGUUAUUAGGGAAGAACAAAUGUGUAAGUAACGAUGCACGUCUUGACGGUACCUAAUCAGAAAGCCACGGCUAACUACGU
Molecule: ribosomal RNA, 496 nt
Filed under: uncultured bacterium
Lineage: Bacteria
Description: partial 16S ribosomal RNA
Rfam family: Bacterial small subunit ribosomal RNA
Source: RNAcentral